Molecule: ribosomal RNA, 914 nt
Filed under: uncultured Acinetobacter sp.
Lineage: Bacteria; Pseudomonadati; Pseudomonadota; Gammaproteobacteria; Moraxellales; Moraxellaceae
Description: bacterial SSU rRNA
Rfam family: Bacterial small subunit ribosomal RNA
Source: RNAcentral
AGAGUUUGAUCAUGGCUCAGAUUGAACGCUGGCGGCAGGCUUAACACAUGCAAGUCGAGCGGAUGAAGGUAGCUUGCUACUGGAUUCAGCGGCGGACGGGCGAGUAAUGCUUAGGAAUCUGCCUAUUAGUGGGGGACAACGUUCCGAAAGGAGCGCUAAUACCGCAUACGUCCUACGGGAGAAAGCAGGGGACCUUUGGGCCUUGCGCUAAUAGAUGAGCCUAAGUCGGAUUAGCUAGUUGGUAGGGUAAAGGCCUACCAAGGCGACGAUCUGUAGCGGGUCUGAGAGGAUGAUCCGCCACACUGGGACUGAGACACGGCCCAGACUCCUACGGGAGGCAGCAGUGGGGAAUAUUGGACAAUGGGGGGAACCCUGAUCCAGCCAUGCCGCGUGUGUGAAGAAGGCCUUUUGGUUGUAAAGCACUUUAAGCGAGGAGGAGGCUACCUAGAUUAAUACUUUAGGAUAGUGGACGUUACUCGCAGAAUAAGCACCGGCUAACUCUGUGCCAGCAGCCGCGGUAAUACAGAGGGUGCGAGCGUUAAUCGGAUUUACUGGGCGUAAAGCGUGCGUAGGCGGCCAAUUAAGUCAAAUGUGAAAUCCCCGAGCUUAACUUGGGAAUUGCAUUCGAUACUGGUUGGCUAGAGUAUGGGAGAGGAUGGUAGAAUUCCAGGUGUAGCGGUGAAAUGCGUAGAGAUCUGGAGGAAUACCGAUGGCGAAGGCAGCCAUCUGGCCUAAUACUGACGCUGAGGUACGAAAGCAUGGGGAGCAAACAGGAUUAGAUACCCUGGUAGUCCAUGCCGUAAACGAUGUCUACUAGCCGUUGGGGCCCUUGAGGCUUUAGUGGCGCAGCUAACGCGAUAAGUAGACCGCCUGGGGAGUACGGUCGCAAGACUAAAACUCAAAUGAAUUGACGG